UACCCAUAUCUCCAUCUCCAA
Molecule: microRNA, 21 nt
Filed under: Arabidopsis lyrata
Lineage: Eukaryota; Viridiplantae; Streptophyta; Magnoliopsida; Brassicales; Brassicaceae
Description: aly-miR774a-3p.1
Gene: aly-miR774a-3p.1
Source: miRBase by way of RNAcentral